GCGUGACGCAGCAACGCCGCUGGGGGAAGAAGGCCUUCGGGUUGUAAACCCCUUUCAGGAGGGCGAAGCCCGGGCGGUGAACAGCCGUUCCGGGUGACGGUACCUCCAGAAGAAGCCCCGGCUAACUACGUGCCAGCAGCCGCGGUAAUACUAGGGGGCUAGCGUUGUCCGGAAUCAUUGGGCGUAAAGAGCGUGUAGGCGGUCCGGUAAGUCCGUUGUGAAAGUCAAGGGCUCAACCCUUGGAUGCCGGCGGAUACUGCCGGGCUAGAGUCCGGAGGAGGCGAGUGGAAUUCCCGGUGUAGCGGUGAAAUGCGCAGAUAUCGGGAGGAACACCUAUGGCGAAGGCAGCUCGCUGGGACGGUACUGACGCUGAGACGCGAAAGCGUGGGGAGCAAACAGGAUUAGAUACCCUGGUAGUCCACGCCGUAAACGAUGGGCACUAGGUGUGGGAGGUGUCGACUCCUUCCGUGCCGUAGCUAACGCAUUAAGUGCCCCGCCUGGGGAGUACGGCCGCAAGGCUA
This 521-nucleotide ribosomal RNA is filed under the name uncultured Actinomycetes bacterium. RNAcentral describes it as "bacterial SSU rRNA". It matches the Rfam family "Bacterial small subunit ribosomal RNA", at positions 381 to 896 of the family's 1533-position model. The record is from RNAcentral. Lineage: Bacteria; Bacillati; Actinomycetota; Actinomycetes.